RNAcentral lists this long non-coding RNA (36424 nucleotides) under Zea mays. Its description in RNAcentral is "long non-coding RNA (ZMAY_LNC000006)". The record is from RNAcentral. Lineage: Eukaryota; Viridiplantae; Streptophyta; Magnoliopsida; Poales; Poaceae.
CGUCAUCCCGGUGCUGUACCAGCAGGUCAAGUGCUCGCGCACCGGCGGCGUGCGCUUCAGCCUCGCCGGCUCGCAGUACUUCCUGCUCGUCAACGUCCAGAACCUCGGAGGCAGUGGCUCCGUGGGGGCCGCCUGGGUGAAGGGCGACAGAACGAACUGGAUCCAGAUGUCCAGGAACUGGGGCGCCAACUGGCAAGCGCUCGCCGGGCUCGUCGGCCAGGGGCUGAGCUUCGCCGUCACCACCACCGGCGGGCAGUACAUUCAGUUCUGGAACGUCGCGCCUGGGUGGUGGCAGUUCGGACAGACCUACACCACGACCCAGAAUUUCUACUACUGAAACCUGCAAGCAGCAGCGAGUGCUUGGAUCUUCCUGUCGCCACAGCCAAUUCUUGUGGUUCGGUCAAAUGAAAUGCCAAGGCUGGGAGGUCCUCACCUCAUCAAGGCCUGCUGUUAAUUUAUUUCAACGUGUUGUACAUAUAUUUGUUCAACUUUAGAUAUUUCUUUCAAAGUUGUAGGUAUGUACGACACACACUAUAUAUAUACAUGUAUAUGAUUUCUGAGAACAUGCAUUUACACAUGAUGUUCCAUUCAGAAUCCUACUGGCCACGCACAACAGUAAAUCCAAAAAAUCCCGACGACCUAAGCCAUCAUACAUAAGCUCUACACCAUGAGACAUAUAAAUUAUUUCCUCCUGGCCCGAGACGGCAAGUGUCCGUCAGUUUUAAAAGUUCUGAAAUAAUCUUAUAUCCCACGGUAGCCGUCGGAGCUAGGAUAUGUCCGACCGUCCACAGACACCGUCGGCAGUAUAGUCGGUUAACGACCAUAACGGUGUUUAGUGGGCCCUUCACGCACUAUGUCUAACGACCGGCAUGCAGACCAUCAGACAUAAUAAGCUUAUCAUCGACGGACAUGUAGGCCAUCGGAUAUUAAUUUAAUUUAUGUUCGACGACUAUACGUGACUGUUGGAUAUUAUUUACUAACGUCCGAUAGCCUGCUUGUGGCUGUCGAACAUAAUGAAUUUCAGGGAGGUCAAAAUUCUUCAUGUUUUUAUUCAUUUCCAAAAUAUACAUUAUCGUAGCAAUAAAUAUUCAUAUUUCACAACCAUUACACAGCAUAUAUCCACAAACACAUGCAUCCACAACCACAGACACAUAGACAUACAUUUUCAUAUUCACAACACACACUUUGUCGACAAAACAACAUUCACAACCACAAAAAUAUAUCUGACAUCUCAUUCACAUGUCAGAAAGUUCCACACAUCGAACUUAGUCGAUCCACAUUGAUAUAGUUCCAAAUUCAUUUUAAUGUCAUAAUUGUCGGCGUUUCGAGACCGGGGGGUCCCUGGGCCGACGAGUGAAAUGUCGUCGCGUGCCCCAGCCCAGAUGGGUCGGCGCGAGACGGAGCGCGAAGGGGGGAAGAAAGGGCAGCCGGAGCGAGAGAGGGAGGUGGAAAUCCCGCGGCCUUCGUGUUUGUCCCGCGCCCAGGUCGGGUGCGCUUGCAGUAGGGGGUUACAAGCGUCCACGCGGGAGAGGGAGCGAGCGGCCUCACGCGAGCGCCUGUCCCGUCCUCUUCCCCGCGCGGCCAACCCUCUGUAAGAGGGCCCUGGUCCUUCCUUUUAUAGGCGUAAGGAGAGGAUCCAGGUGUACAAUGGGGGUGUAGCAGAGUGCUAACGUGUCUAGCGGAGGAGAGCUAGCGCCCUAAGUACAUGCCAUCGUGGCAGCCGGAGAGGUUUUGGCACCCGGUUCGUGUGGUGUCGUGGCCGUCGGAGGAGCGCUGAAGCCUGGCGGAAGGACAGCUGUCGGGGCUGUCGAGUCCUUGCUGACGUCCUCUUGCUUCCGUAAGGGGGCCGAGAGCCGCCAUCGUCAUAGAGCGUGCGGGGCGCCAUCAUUACUUUGUCUGGCGGAGCGAGCCAGAUGGGACACCGGUCUUGUUUCCCGUAGCCUAAGUCAGCUUGGGGUAGGGUAAUGAUGGCGCCUCCUGUUGACGUGGCCGGUCCGCGCCCUAGGUUGGGCGAUGUGGAGGCUCCUCCGAGGUCGAGGUCGAGUCUGUCUUCCGUGGCCGAGGUCGAGUCCGAGCCCCUGGGUUGGGCGAGGCGGAGACUAUCGGCUGAGGCCAGGGUCGAGUCCGAGCCCUGGGGUCGGGCGAAGCGGAGUUCAUCGUCUUCUGGGGCUGAGCCCGAGUCCGAGCCCUGGGUCGGGCGGAGCGGAGUUCGCCGUCUUCCGGGGCUGAGCCCAAGUCCGAGCCCUGGGUCGGGCGGAGCGGAGUUCGUCGUCUUUCGGGGUUGAGCCCGAGUCCGAGCCCUGGGUCGGGCGGAGCGGAGUUCGCCAUCUUCCGGGGCUGAGCCCAAGUCUGAGCCCUGGGUCGGGCGGAGCGGAGUUCGCCGUCUUCUGGGGCUGAGCCCAAGUCCGAGCCCUGGGUCGGGCGAAGCAGAGCUUCCUAUGGUGCCUGAGGCCGGGCCUGACUGCCUGUCAGCCUUACUCUGUCAAGUGGCACAGCAGUCGGAGCGGCGCAGGCGGCGCUGUCCUUCUGUCAGGCCGGUCAGUGGAGCAGCGAAGUGACUGCGGUCACUUCAGCUUUGUCGACUGAAGGGCGCGCGUCAGGAUAAAGGUGUCAGGCCACCUUUGCAUUAAAUGCUCCUGUGAUUUGGUCGAUUGGCGCGGCGAUUUGGUCAGGGUUGCUUCUUGGCGAAGACAGGGCCUCGGGCGAGCCGGAAGUAUGUUCAUCGCUGGAGGGGGGCCUCGGGCGAGACGAAGAUCCUCCGGGGUCGGCUGCCCUUGCCCGAGGCUGGGUUCGGGCGAGGCGUGAUCGAGUCCCUCGAAUGGACCGAUCCCUGACUUAAUCGCACCCAUCAGGCCUUUGCAGCUUUGUGCUGAUGGGGGUUACCAGCUGAGAAUUAGGAGCCUUGAGGGUACCCCUAAUUAUGGUCCCCGACAGUAGCCCCCAAGCCUCGAAGGGAGUGUUAACUCUCUCUUGGAGGCUUUUGUCGCACUUUUUUGCAAGGGGACCAGCCUUUCUCGGUUGCGUUUUGUUCCGGUGGGUGCGCGCGAGCGCACCCGCCGGGUGUAGCCCCCGAGGCCUUGGAGGAGUGGUUUGACUCCUCCGAGGUCUUAAUGCCUCGCGCAAUGCUUCGGCUGGUCUGGUCGUUCCCUCAUGCGAGCUGGCCGUAGCCCGGGUGCACGGUCGGGUCCCAAAUUCUCGGGCUGGUAUGUUGACGCUGUCAACGGUUUGGCCGGAGCCGGGUUUGCGAGAGCAGCCCCCGAGCCUUUGCACAGGGCAAGAGGACGGUCAGGGACAGACUCGACUUUUUUACAUACGCCCCUGCGUCGCCUUUCCGCAAGGAGGAGGGGGGAAAGCGCCAUGUUGCCCUCGGAGGGCACCGAACAUGGUGUCUCCGGUGAGCUGCUGGCGGGUAAUCCGAGUGGACGUCCGUGCCCCAUUUGUUAGGGGUCGGCUAGAGGCCCAGAGGCGCGCCCAAAAGUACCUGCGGGUGAUCUGCCGGACCCGGUCCCCUGUCGACGGGGUCCGAGGGCUCGAUGCCUCCCUCUGAUGGGAUUCCGUUACAAGAUCGUUCCCGCUGGUCUCGGAAAUGUCCUAGGGUACCUCGGGAGCGCAGCCCGAGCCUUGGUUAUGUAUCGAACGUACCCAUGGUCAUCCCUCGCUUUGUGUCUGAGGCGGUUGUGAACCCUUCGAGGGCCAACCUUCGAACCCCUGAUCAGUAGUGGGCACGGAGCCCGAGUGGCCAGAGGCGGCCGUUGAACCCUUCCGAGGGGCCAGCCUUCGAACCUCUGACCAGUAGUGGGUGUGGAGCCCACGCGCUCUGAGGCGGCUGUUAAACCCCUCCGAGGGGCCAGCCUUCGAACCUCUGAUCAGUAGGGAGGCUCGGAGCCUGCUUCCUUCACGGAGAAGGAUCCUUUUCGGGGUUUCCCCCUUUCUCGGUCCCUGUUGUAAGAGAGAGAAAGAGGAGAAGGAAAAAGGAUACAAAAUCGAAUGACGUGGCGUACCUUUCUUGACGCGGUCAUUAUGGCGAAGGCGAAGCGUCGCUCGCUUCCCCUACCAGAGGCGCCGCCUUUCCCGCCGCGGAGUUAAUGCGACGGGGCGUGCGUUUCGUGGGGCGGCCGUUGCGCGUGCGCGAGCCAUUCGAGGAAUGGAACACGGGCGCGUCGUCUUCACGCCGUGAGAGAGGGUUCUCUCACUGCCCCAGGAUGGGACGUAAGCCUGGCUGACGACAUGACCGCUGCUCCCGCCCGCCUGCCGGCCCAUUUUUGGCCGCACUGACCGUCGCACCAGGCUGGCGCUGCUGGGUCACGCGCUGGGUCGCCUCGAGUCGCGGUACUGAUUCCGCAAUCGAGGAGGCGCGGUGGUGGCGCGAGUGGCGGUGCAGUUGCUUGCACGUAGCGACCGGCGUGCCGGUUGCGUGACGCGUGGGCGUGGGCUUCCAUGUUGGGCGCGUUGGAAGUCGAAGAGGUGCGCCCACUUGGCGUGGUUGCAUGCCACCUGCAUGGCUGCCCACCCUUUCGCCCGUUGGUCUGGGCAAAAAGCGGAGGAAUGCUCGUAACCGCUGGGCAGUUGCAUGCACCGCGCGUGGCGGUUUGGCUUCUUCUGCUCUGGGCCAGCUUGCAUGACGUGUGGGACCCAGCCCCCGCGCCGUAGGGGGAGGACCUUGGAGCGUGUUGGAGAAGACUCAGCCCACGACGGCUGGGGACGCAAGUAGGGAGAGUCACCUUUAAAAGGAUGGUGACCCCCUUAAAAGGCGACCAUGUCUUCGCGCUCCCUCAUGCAUCGUGUCUUUCCACCUUCCGAGCCCCCGGAUGGGGGAUGCCCGCAGUCCUUCCGCCUUGUCGUUGGAGGAACGCAACUCCGUGGGAGUUGGUACCUUUCGGCCAUCGUUCGGCUUCAAGGAUUUUCAUCAGUCAGCCCGGCUGCAUCCCCUCGCCGGUGGUCACCCAAGACGGUGACCACCAGCCCCUGGGUGGGGAGAAGCAAGCCGGGCUACGAUCUUGGUCCCACCCUCAGCUUCAAGGAUGUUCAUCAUCCUCGCUGGGGUGGAGGUCGGGCUGAGCCGGAGCUCUACCUCCGCGCGGGUUCGUGGGUCAGCCUCUCCCUCAUCGUUCGAGGGAGAGGGCGCUCACUGGCCCUGUGAGAGGGGCGGACUUCGACAACGCGGGGCUGGUCGACGGCGGGCGUCGUCGGCUUCAGCGCGUUGGGUUCGCCGGCUUGGCUCCCGGAGCCCCCUUCUGCCACAAGGGCGGUUAUCACGCCGCGCGCUCGGGAGGACCGCCCAAGACGUCGCGCGCUGCCAGGGCGGCGUUCGUGUUCUGGGGCGGUCCUGCCUUUGCACCGGUACGGCGCCUCCACGCGGAGGUCGGUGCCCCGCGCGUCCGGGAGGAUCCGAGUGGGGAUCUGCCGGUGGGCUGACGGCCCCUGUCGUCGGUGCCGAGGCGGAGGCGGCUCGAGAAGUCCCCGUCGCCGACGGGAUCACCGCCACCAUCUGCGCUUCGGGCCUCCGGCUCUUUGUACUUGUCCUCGCCCCUCGAGCGUCGGCGUGGGCAAGGACAGGGUUGCAGCGGCGUUCGCCCCGAGGCCAUCGCUACUGCAGUUCUGCCACCCGUAGAGGGAGUCGUUGUCGCUGCUGCUGGAGCGGGCGACGGUGAGCCGUCCGUCGGUCUUCUGUCGCUCCGCAGGCCCCCCGAUCGAGUGGGGUUGUUCGUACCUGCGGAGGUGGAACCGGAGUUCCGUUUGUAAUGGCACCUUGAAUGUCGGUCUUUUGUUCAUUGUGGCUGUCAGGGCCUGAACAUGUAUGUAUUUUUGGCACAGAGCCGUGUUUUUUUCCUCAUUUUCGAGCACUAAGACUCGCCUGUUGGUUGUCUGAACUGCUUCACCAAGCGUGAGUCGCCACGUGCAAAGGUGACGAGUGAGGUAUCCGUAUCCCGGAGGCGUAGGAGUCCCUCGGCUCGGUCGGCCUUGCUGUCCGAGGCUUCUCUUGUUUGGUUAAAGGAACCCCUCGCCCGCUCUUCGAUGAGCCGAAGCCAGGGGUAGCGGUGUCAGCACGGACAGAGGCAGAGUUGGCUCGAAAAGAAGACUUGGUCGGCCGGAGCCUGGCCGGGUCGUCCGUUAGCGGGACCGACGCCGGAGUUGAUCUGCCGAGGCCUCGGGCCGGGCUGAUGUCUUCGAGGGACAGCUGGCCGAGGCCUCGGGGUGAUCGGCCGAGCCGCCUGCUCGAGCCGGAUUCUUGGGGGAGACCCUGGCGGCGAUGGCCCGGGUGUGAUGAUGAAGUCGUCCUUCAGAGUGGAGAUCCUCGGACCGCGUCGCCGUCUGAGGCUAGGCCGGACCUCGCUGAAGGUGUAGUUGACGCCGAGGGUGCUGCUGCUCCCUUCAACCAUCAAGAUCCGAGCCUGCAGGAUCGGAUUAUCUUGUAGCGUGUGUUUUCUGCGGCCGCCGAGGCCCAAACACAUCCUCGCCGUGUUGUAAAGCUGCGCUUCUUUUCCUCUCGUUUCGAGUAUCUGGACUUUUUCGUCGGUAACAGAAUUGUCUGUGCGAGCGAGAGUUGCUUUUCACGGAAGGUGAUGAGUGAGGUAUCCGUAUCCCGGAGGCAUAGGAAUCCCUCGGCUCGGUCGGCCUUGCCGCUUACGCGCACUCUUGCCCGUCCAUAGGGUUCUAUCACCGACGCAGUCGAGAAGGCUCGAAGAAUCGCUUCGACAGAGGAGCUUUCAAACGUGAAGACUUGUUCGGUCCGCGGAAUCACUUAUCCGAACGUGAGUUACUUAUCGUAGAAGGUGAUGAGUGAGGUAUCCGUAUCCCGGAGGCGUAGGAGUCCCUCGGCUCGGUCAGCCUUGGCUGCUUACAUGUACUCCGCCGUUUUCAGGAUCCACUUUCGAAGUAGUCGAAAAGCACGAAAGACAUUCUGGCAGAAAGGAUCUUUUUUUCGAGGAAAAUUUCGACGCAGAGGGGGUUCCCCCCUUUUAGCCCCCGAGGGAGGGUUGGGCUUUGCCGAGGCAAGCCUGACCCUUCCUUGAUGACUAAACUUUGCGUGGGAGCGAGGUAUAUGAACAACUUGAAAGCAUCUUAAGGGUAGAAGCGACGUAGCUGUUGGAUGUUCCAAGCGUUGCUGUAGACCUCGCCUUGACGGUUGGCCAGCUUGUACGUUCUGGGCUUCAGAACUUUGGCGAUGACGAACGGCCCUUCCCAGGGAGGCGUGAGCUUGUGCCACCCUCGGGCGUCCUGUCGCAGCCAAAGCACCAGGUCGCCCGCCUGGAGGUCUCAGGACCGGACCCCUCGGGCGUGGUAGCGUCGCAGGGACUGCUGAUACCGCGCCGAGUGUAGUAAGGCCAUGUCCCGAGGCUCUUCCAGCUGGUCCAGCGAGUCUUCUCGACUAGCUUGGUUGCUUUGGUCGGCGUAGGCCCUCGUCCUCGGGGAACCGUAUUCUAAGUCUGUGGGCAAGAUGGCCUCGGUCCCAUAGACCAGAAAGAACGGCGUGAAGCCCGUGGCUCGGCUCGGCGUUGUCCUCAGGCUCCAGACCACCGAGGGGAGUUCCUUCAUCCAUUGCUUGCCGAACUUGUUGAGGUCGUUGUAGAUCCGAGGCUUGAGCCCUUGUAGAAUCAUGCCGUUGGCACGCUCUACUUGCCCAUUCAUCAUGGGGUGAGCCACGGCUGCUCAGUCCACCCGGAUGUGGUGAUCCUCGCAGAAGUCCAGGAACUUUCUGCCGGUGAACUGGGUGCCGUUGUCGGUGAUGAUGGAGUUUGGGACCCCAAAGCGAUGGAUGAUGUUGGUGAAGAACGCCACCGCCUGUUCGGACCCGAUGCUGUUUAGGGGCCGAACCUCGAUCCACUUGGAGAAUUUGUCGAUGGCGACCAACAGGUGCGUGUAGCCCCCGGGUGCCUUCUGCAAGGGGCCGACGAGGUCCAGACCCCACACAGCGAAAGGCCAGGUGAUGGGUAUUGUCUGCAGAGCCUGAGCGGGCAGGUGGGUCUGCCUCGCGUAGAACUGACACCCUUCGCAGGUGCGGACAAUUCUAGUGGCGUCGGCCACCGCCGUCGGCCAGUAGAAACCUUGUCGGAAGGCGUUUCCGACGAGGGCUCGAGGUGCUGCGUGAUGGCCGCAAGCCCCCGAGUGUAUCUCUCGUAGGAGCUCCUGGCCUUCGGCGAUGGAAAUGCAUCGCUGGAGGAUGCCUGAGGGGCUGCGGUGGUAGAGCUCCUUCCCGUCCCCCACCAAGACAAACGACUUGGCGCGCCGCGCCAACCAUCGAGCUUCGGCUCGGUCGAGGGGUAGCUCUCCUCGGUGGAGAUAUUGCGGGUACGGGGUCCGCCAGUUUCGAUUAGGCGUGACCCCGCUUCGCUCCUCCUCGACGCGCAGUGCCUCACCCUCGGGGGCCGAGGGUGCCUCAGGCUGAACCGAGGGUGCCUCGGGCCGAGCUGAGGGUGCCUCGGGCCGAGCCGAGGGUGCCUCGGGCCGAGCCGAGGGUGCCUCGGGCCGAGCCGAGGGUGCCUCGGACUGAGCCGAGGGUUCCUCAGGCUGGGCCGAGGGUGCCUCGGGCUUGGGCGUGUUGUCGAUCUUGAUGGAGGGUUGAUGUAGGUCUCGAGAGAAGACGUCCGGGGGAACCGUUGUUCGCCCCGAGGCUAUUUUAGCCAGCUCGUCCACAGUCUCGUUGUAGCGUCGGGCGAUGUGGUUGAGCUCGAGCCCGUAGAACUUGUCUUCCAGGCGUCGAACCUCAUCGCAGUAGGCUUCCAUCUUUGGGUCGCGGCAGUGGGAGUUCUUCAUGACUUGGUCGAUGACGAGCUGCGAGUCACCACGAGCGUCGAGGCGUCGGAUCCCUAGCUCGAUGGCGAUGCGCAACCCGUUGACCAGAGCCUCGUACUCAGCCACAUUGUUGGACGCCGGGAAGUGGAGGCGUAGCACGUAGCAUAGAUGCUUUCCAAGGGGCGAGAUGAAGAGUAGGCCUGCGCCGGCCCCUGUCUUCAUCAGCGACCCGUCGAAGAACAUGGUCCAGAGCUCCGGUUGGAUCGGAGCUGUUGGGAGCUGGGUGUCGACCCAUUCAGCCACGAAGUCCGCCAAGACCUGGGACUUGAUGGCCUUCCGAGGGGCGAACGAGAUCGCUUCGCCCAUGAUUUCCACCGCCCACUUUGCGAUUCUACCCGAGGCCUCUCGGCACUGGAUGAUCUCCCCCAGGGGGAAGGAUGACACCACAGUUACCAGAUGAGACUCAAAGUAGUGUCGCAACUUCCGCCGCGUCAGGAUCACUGCGUACAGCAGCUUCUGAAUUUGUGGGUAGCGGAUCUUGGUUUCGGACAGUACCUCGCUGAUGAAGUAGACUGGCCUCUGAACGGGCAAUGCAUGCCCCUCUUCUCGUCUCUCAACCACAAUCGCGGUGCUAACCACCUGAGUGGUCGCGGCGACGUAGAUCAAGAGGGCUUCUCCGGCAGCGGGGCGCACCAAGAUGGGCACGUUCGUGAGGAGCGCCUUCAGGUUCCCGAGGGCUUCCUCGGCCUUGGGGGUCCAAGUGAAGCACUCGGCCUUCCUUAAGAGGCGGUACAGAGGCAGGCCUCUUUCGCCGAGGCGUGAGAUGAAGCGGCUCAGAGCCGCAAGGCAUCCCAUGACUCUCUGUACGCCUUUCAAGUCCUUGAUGGGCCCCAUGCUGGUGAUGGCCGCGAUCUUCUCUGGGUUGGCUUCGAUUCCCCGCUCAGAGACGAUGAACCCCAAGAGCAUGCCUCGGGGUACCCCGAAGACACACUUCUCGGGAUUAAGCUUCACGCCUUUCGCCUUGAGACAUCGGAAUGUCACUUCAAGGUCGGAAAGGAGGUCGGAGGCUUUCCUCGUCUUGACUACGAUGUCAUCGAUGUAGGUCUCGACCGUCCGGCCAAUGUGUUCGCCGAACACAUGGUUCAUGCAUCGCUGGUACGUCGCGCCUGCAUUCCUCAAGCCUAACGACAUGGUGACAUAGCAGUACAUGCCGAAGGGUGUGAUGAAAGAAGUCGCGAGCUGGUCGGACUCUUUCAUCCUGAUUUGGUGAUACCCUUAGUAGGCAUCGAGGAAAGACAGGGUUUCGCACCCAGCAGUGGAAUCCACGAUUUGAUCGAUGCGAGGCAGAGGGUAGGGAACCUUCGGACAUGCUUUGUUUAGACCAGUGUAGUCUACACACAUCCGCCAUUUCCCUCCUUUCUUUCUCACAAGCACAGGGUUGGCAAGCCAUUCGGGAUGGAAUACCUCUUUGACGAACCCGGCCGCCAUUAGCUUGUGGAUCGGUGAUGUUGGGCAGCUCGGUGCGCUGCUUCGAGAAUCGCCGGAUGUAGUCCCGGAGAGACUCUCCCGGCUGCUGCCGGCAGCUUCGUAGGUCCCAGGAGUUUCCAGGGCGCACGUACGUUCCCUGGAAAUUGUCGGCGAAGGCUUGGACCAGGUCGUCCCAGUUGGAGAUCUGCCCCGGAGGCAGGUGCUCCAACCAAGCGCGAGCGGUGUCGGAGAGAAACAGGGUGAGGUUGCGGAUGAUGAGGUUGUCAUCGUCCGUUCCACCCAGUUGGCAGGCCAGCCGGUAGUCUGCGAGCCACAGUUCCGGUCUCGUCUCCCCCGAGUACUUUGUGAUAGUAGUCGGGGGUCGGAACCGGGUCGGGAACGGCGCCCGUCGUAUGGCGCGGCUGAAAGCCUGCGGACCGGGUGGUUCGGGCGAGGGACUCUGAUCCUCCCCGCUGUCGUAGCGUCCCCCACGCCUGGGGUGGUAGCCUCGGCGCACCCUCUCGUCGAGGUGGGCCCGACGAUCGCGGUGAUGGUGCUCGUUGCCGAGGCGACCCGGGGCCGCAGGCGCUGUGAUGUGCGUGCGCCCGGUGUGGACCAAGGCUUCCCGCAUGAAUCGGGAAGUCGCAGCUCGAUGUUCCGAGGGGUACCCCUGCCUUCGGGAGGCGGAGCUCUCGGCCCAUCGGACCGCGACGCCCUCCAGGAGAUUCUUGAGCUCUCCCUAGAUUCACCGCCCCUCGGUGGUUGAUGGCUCCGGCAUCGCGCGGAGAAGCAUUGCUGCGGCAGCCAGGUUCUGGCCGACCCCACUGGAAGCGGGUGGCGGCCUCACCCUGACAUCGUCGGCGAUGCGGUGAUGGAUACCCUGGGGUAGAUGGCGCACUUCUCCGGCCGGAGGUUGGCUCGCCCAUUCUUGCCCGACGUCCCGGCGGAUCGGCUCAAGCGCUCCUGCUCCCUCGUCGAGCCUGGCCGGCACCCCACGGAUUUGCUCGAGCUGUGGGUCAUGACCCCCUGCCGGAACGGGGACCACAGCUAGCUCCCGUAGGAUGUCAACGCGUGGCACAGGCCUAGGGAGAUCACCGUUCUCAGGCAUACCGAGAUGGUUGCCUUCGGAGGGACCCCCUAGAUCGACGUGGAAACAUUCACGACUUGGGCCACAGUCCUCGUCGCCGAGGCUGCGGCUACCGUCGGAACAGUCGGAAAGGCAGUAGUCGCAUGCGGUCAUGAAGUCCCGCAUGGCACUGGGGUUGCCAAGUCCAGAGAAAUCCCAACAGAAGUCGGGCUCGUCAUCUUCCUCGGACCCCGAGGGCCCGUAGGUCGAGACGUCCGCGAGCCGGUCCCAGGGUGACCGCAUACGAAACCCAGAGGGUUUGGACUCGCCUCUGCGAGAGCGUCCGCCAAAGCGAAGUCGCUUGGCGGGUCGAGGCUGAAUCCAAAGGGCGUGAGAUGGGAACCGGUGGGUACCUCUUGGUCAACGGGCGGUGACGAAGUCACGUCAGGGACUGACUGCAUCGUCGUCUCAGGUACGAGGGUGACGCCUAGCAAGCCUUUCGCGAGCGUGCUGGCGUCGUCCGUUUGCUCGGAAUUGGCGUGUCGCGGGGAGACGAUGCUCGUCUUCGUCUCAAACGCGAGGUCGAUGUCCGACGUGCCCCCCGUUGGGGCACCGGCGCCAUCGACUUGCUCGACAGCCGACGAGGUGCCACCUCCUGCUUGGCCUUGGUUGCCCCGCCUCCUCCUCCGUCGGCGGGGGAGAGGGCGGGGUGAGCUCAAAUGUUGCUCUUCCACCACGCGGGGAAGACGUCGCCGAUUCCGUCGCCGACGGGCGAGCUGUCGGCCGCCAUUGUUGCUAUCGCACGGCGGGGGAAGGAGUAUCAUGUCGUAGCUGCCGUCGAGGGACAUGAACUCAAGACUCCCGAAACGGAGCACCGUCCCGGGCUGGAGAGGUUGCUGGAGACUACCCAUCUGGAGCUUGACGGGAAGCUGUUCGUCAACACGCAACAGGCCCCUACCUGGUGCGCCAACUGUCGGCGUUUCGAGAUCGGGGGGUCCCUGGGACGACGAGUGAAAUGUCGCCGCGUGCCCCAGCCCAGAUGGGUCGGCGCGAGACGGAGCGCGAAGGGGGGAAGAAAGGGCAGCCGGAGUGAGAGAGGGAGGCGGAAAUCCCGCGGCCUUCGUGUUUGUCCCGCGCUCAGGUCGGGUGCGCUUGCAGUAGGGGGUUACAAGCGUCCACGCGGGAGAGGGAGCGAGCGGCCUCACGCGAGCGCCUGUCCCGUCCUCUUCUCCGUGCGGCCAACCCUCUGUAAGAGGGCCCUGGUCCUUCCUUUUAUAGGCAUAAGGAGAGGAUCCAGGUGUACAAUGGGGGUGUAGCAGAGUGCUAACGUGUCUAGCGGAGGAGAGCUAGCGCCCUAAGUACAUGCCAUCGUGGCAGCCGGAGAGGUUUUGGCACCCGGUUCGUGUGGUGUCGUGGCCGUUGGAGGAGCACUGAAGCCUGGCGGAAGGACAGCUGUCGGGGCUGUCGAGUCCUUGCUGACGUCCUCUUGCUUCCGUAAGGGGGCCGAGAGCCGCCAUCGUCAUAGAGCGUGCGAGGCGCCUUCAUUACUUUGUCUGGCGGAGCGAGCCAGAUGGGACGCCGGUCUUGUUUCCCGUAGCCUGAGUCAGCUUGGGGUAGGGUAAUGAUGGUGCCUCCUGUUGACGUGGCCGGUCCGCGCCCUAGGUUGGGCGAUGUGGAGGCUCCUCCGAGGUCGAGGUCGAGUCUGUCUUCCGUGGCCGAGGUCGAGUCCGAGCCCUUGGGUCGGGCAAGGCGGAGACCGUCGGCUGAGGCCAGGGUCGAGUCCGAGCCCUGGGGUCGGGCGAAGCGGAGUUCGUCGUCUUCCGGGGCUGAGCCCGAGUCCGAGCCCUGGGUCGGGCGGAGCGGAGUUCGCCGUCUUCCGGGGCUGAGCUCAAGUCCGAGCCCUGGGUCGGGCGGAGCGGAGUUCGUCGUCUUCCGGGGCUCAGCCCGAGUCCGAGCCCUGGGUCGGGCGGAGCGGAGUUCGCCGUCUUCCGGGGCUGAGCCCAAGUCCGAGCCCUGGGUCAGGCGGAGCGGAGUUCGCUGUCUUCCGGGGCUGAGCCCAAGUCCGAGCCCUGGGUCGGGCGAAUUGGAGCUUCCUAUGGUGCCUGAGGCCGGGCCUGACUGCCUGUCAGCCUUACUCUGUCAAGUGGCACAGCAGUCGGAGCGGCGCAGGCGGCGCUGUCCUUCUGUCAGGCCGGUCAGUGGAGCGGCGAAGUGACUGCGGUCAAUUCGGCUCUGUCGACUGAAGGGCGCGCGUCAGGAUAAAGGUGUCAGGCCACCUUUGCAUUAAAUGCUCCUGCGAUUUGGUCGGUUGGCACGGCGAUUUGGUCAGGGUUGCUUCUUGGCGAAGAUAGGGCCUCGGGCGAGCCGGAAGUAUGUUCGUCGCUGGAGGGGGGCCUCGGGCGAGACGGAGAUCCUCCGGGGUCGGCUGCCCUUGCCCGAGGCUGGGUUCGGGCGAGGCGUGAUCGAGUCCCUCGAAUGGACCGAUCCCUGACUUAAUCGCACCCAUCAGGCCUUUGUAGCUUUGUGCUGAUGGGGGUUACCAGCUGAGAAUUAGGAGCCUUGAGGGUACCCCUAAUUAUGGUCCCCGACAAUAAUCAAACUACUAUGUUUCAAAAGUGUAUAUCAGUCGUCAUAUGGUUGAUUAGAGUUAUGGCCACUUCCUCUAGCUAGACUUUAGGUAGUGAAAAGGUUGUUCACCCAUGAAGUCGUGGUCUCGUCUUGGCCAGAUUCCUCUCUAGGUGUUGCAACCAAAAUGGGAGGUGUCUAUAAGGCCCCUAACACAUAAGCCUAGAUAUCAAAUACUAAUUUUUUCAUUUUUAUCACACACGCAUACAGGGCCGGAUUUGGGACGGGGCCACCAUGGCGGUAGCCCUAGGCCCCAAAUUUAUUGGGCCCCUCCCCACAUAUCUUAUAUAGACAUCUUUAAGCCCAAUAAAAAACCAAAAAAGAAAAAUGAAUUGCCUAAGAGCUUGUCACCCAUCAUCAUGUUUGUUGCCUCCGUCGUCGCUAGUGCCAGGAUGCGACACCGUACCUCUGACCUCUCUCGGAAGCUCUCUUCCAUGUCCAUACGGUGUUCUUUUGUUUGAUUCACGUAGGUCAUGGCCAUUAGUGAACUAUUAUUUUAUUAUUCUUGCUUGUUCCUUUCAUACGUUGUAGGCCACGGCCACUAGGCCUUAAUGAACAAUCCUUCCCUCCACUUGAACCUGAAGAAGAAAAAUUAUAUUAAUGAAUUUUUAAUUUAUUGUUCUUGCUUUUGUAUGUUGUAGGCCUUGGUGAUCUCCUCCACUUGAUCUUGGCCUCUGCCUUGCGGGAUGCGGCAGGGUUUUGUAUUGUAUGAUUAAUUUAAAAUGUUUUUAAUAUUAUGUUAUUUUAUUGACAAAAAUAUGUAUAUGUACUAAAUAAAUAGGGGAUCCUUUGGAAUAAAGGAAAAUUUCCUAAAUCCUGCGCUUUUCCGAUGUUUUUGAACUAAUUUCUGUGAAAUUCCUAUAUCAUUUCUGUGAAAUUCUUGUGUUCCAAUGGAGCUCUAGAAUUAUAUUUAUAUAGAAGGGCUCCCAUAUUUGAGUUCGCCCUAGGUCUCUAAAAUGUCAGCUCCAGCCCUGCACGCAUAUAUGUACGUAUGAAUGAACGAAUAUCUAAUCUGGACACUACAUGAAUUCACUUAAUUCUCGUCGGCCAGAAACCGACGGGAAUAAGCCUAAACCGACGGGAAUUACUUAUUCCCGUCGGUUUAGGGCUUAUUCCCAUCGGUUGUCAGCCGCCAGGCGUCCCUUGUUGGGGAUAAGUUUAUCCCCGUCGGCUAGAAGGUGGCCGACGGGAGUUAAGGCUAACUCCCGUCGGUGUUGCGGGCCGACGGGCGUUAUUUAUUAAUUCCCGUCGGUUUCCCAGGCCGACGGGAGUUAUGAAUUAAUUCCCGUCGGUCCGACGUGGCCGACGGGAAUUAACUGGGCCGACGAGCAUUAUUAGUUAAUUCCCGUCGGUUCGACCAUAGCCGACGGGAAUUAACUGGGCCGACGGGAAUUACCCUAUACUGCUAUAAAAAAGCACUAAAUUAUGUCACUAUUUCUGCACACAUAACAUAUAUCAUACAUAACAUAAAUCACAGAUAACAGCCACAUUACAAACACAUGCAUUUAGAGAUACGACAUCCACAAACACAUGCAUUUAGACAUAAACACUUGCAUUUAUAAUUAAAACAUCUACCAACGUGUACGACAUAAUAUUGAAACAUAACAUCCACCAACGAGUACGACAUAGUAUUGAAACAUAACAUCGACCAACGAGUACGACAUUUCAAACAUAAGUUCAAGUGUUUAGAUAUAACCACCACUUGGGUGGUUAGAGCUUUGACCGCUGCCGCCACCACCACCAGGAGGAGGGAACGCGAAGAGCGAGUCAACAAAUCUAGUCCCUACUGCUGGAUCAGACCCACUACCACCCGCUUCAGGCGUAACCUAUGCAAGUUAGCAAAUAUCAUCACGUUAAAUGCAAAUAUCAAAAAAGUAUACAAGUAUAUAAAUUAAUGGAGAGUUAUCAAACGUACCCUAUCUCCAGGUGCAGGUAUAUGUGUCGGAGGGGUGGUGAACUGUGGUGGUGGAACUGGUGUGUUUGCAAAUUGGCUCCAUUGUGGUGGCGGUGGAAAAUUUGAUGUCAUGCCCUGUUGCUGCAUUAACUGUUAAACACAUAUGUGUUACUACCGAAGAUGUUGUAUUGAAAUAUAAUAAUUUAGAGUUCGGAUUAUGUGUACUCACUUGAUACAUCGCUUGGUUAUGUGCAUUGCAAGCCUCCAUAAAUUCGCGUUGUUGUCUCAUCUCUUCACGCAUCCUCAUAAUCUACAACUCCUGCUCGUUCGGUCGACGAGAGCAUGAGCUACGGGAAGAUGAACCCGUCCUCUGAGAUCUCACCGAUGACGAGUCAAUGAAUCCGUCAAAGAGUGCGUAUCUAUAAGUUAUACAAAAAAUGUGAUUACUGUAUAAUCAAUUUAGUGUCAACCAUAUAAUUUCAUAAGUUAGAGCUUACCGUCCAUGCGCUUUGCCACCACCACUUGCGUACACCACCGAGGGAUCCAACGGUUCAUGGCGCCAGUCGAAGUCAGGGCCAUGGCGACGAACCAUCUCCUCCCCAUAUGCCGCCUAUACAUCAUUCACAACCUUACAAAUGCAGGAAUUUAUAUACUUUGAACGUUUGAACUUUUGAGCCAAAACUCACCAAGCGAUCCGUGGUUGUCUAGCUGCAGAGCUGGUCAGGGUUGUUCGGGUUUGGUCCUUUGUGGCCCUCCUGGUAGACCUCAAUGUCACUAGGCUUUUGGCCACUCGUAGCUUCCUGUAUAAACAAAAAACAUUCAUAAGGAAUCGUAUUAUUUGUUGAUCGACAUAGCUAGAUCAAACUUACCAUUCUUUUAGCUUUUCGUAUCAUGUCGUCACCGCCAAACUUGUGGUUAGGAUUGGUUCCUCGACAUUGUCUGUGAUGCGUUGACGCUUUCUGAAAGCCUUCGGAAGCCCAAUAUUGACACCAAGCAUAGUACGCAUCAGGCACGGGCGCCAUCCAUGGAACCAUCACCUGCACACACAAUGUUACAUAUUAUAUCAAUCACAACAAUCAAUAUAAAGGGUAAAACAAAUUGAAUACUAACCUCACGAUAUUGAUCCUUAGUCAAAUAUAUCUUUGAGGACCCUUCCUUUUUAUUCAAGGGGCCUGCUUCUUCCGGAUGCUUUUGAAAAUACAGGUUUGUAGCCUGAAUUCUUGCAUAGUAUAUGACAUCCUUCACCAGCUUCUUUGCAUUGUUUUGGAAGACAAGUUCAGCGUGCCCCAUGUAAUCCUCUCCGUCAGGCAACCGAUAUCGAAGCUACAACAUAAAGAAUACAAAUGCAAUGGUAUAAGUCAUAGAUUUACAAUAUUAAUAAACAUAACAAAAAAUAAAGAAUUCAUACCCAAAAGUCAUUACGCACAAGUCCCUGUCUAUCGGUGUGGUUUCGUUCCUUUUUAAACUUGUACUCGUCCCAGGUACUGACGAGCACAUCAUCCUCGGUAUCACCGUUUGACACCUUCACUAUACCAAGGUAGUGAAGGCGGCAAAGAGAACCCAACGUAAGGUUAACCUGAGUGUAGUGUCCCUUGCCGUCAAAGGACAGGUCCUCCCAAUUCCUGCAUUACACAAAAACAUUAACAAUAGACAUAAUAGUUAUAUGAGAUAAGUUAGUAUAUUACACUCACCGAUCUCCAUGUGGCAUGAUUAAAGUCCUAUCAGCCUCUCGCUCUAUCGCGUGAUGAGGCUUUACUGAGUGGCUUUUUCUUGAGCGACGUGUGCGUGUCGCUGAAGAGCCUCCCGAGCCAUCAUCCAUCGGGUUGUCAGCCGGUUCGCCCUGUUGGCCCCACUGGUCCCACGCCUGUUGCUGCUCUCUCUGGUGGUCCCACUGGUCCCAUGGCUGGUGAUGCUGUGCGGCCUGGUCCCAUGUCACGUGCUCCACCUCCUCAUUGUGCUCCACCUCCUCAUUGUGCUCCACCUCCUCAUUGUGCUGCUCAUCCUGGUACAUACAACUCAAGAUUUAUUUGUAAAUAUGUAAACAAAAUUAUUUGUACAAGAUAUGUUACCUCAUCUCCAUGUACCGCGCUCAACAGCUCUCGACGUCUGCUGCUAGAAGAACUACCCUAAAAAAGGCCCAGGCCCUUGAACAGCCCCUUCACUGACUUCUUUGAUUUUGGCGGCAUCCUGCAUAAAAAACAAGAAAUUAUUCAUUAGUGCAUCAAAAAUGACAUAAUACUUAAAAAUAGACACAAAUGAAAUAACAAAACAACUUUACUUGUUAAAUAUCAUCAAAAUCAGGAUCUAUUUGUUCUCUUCUAUGCAGAGGUCGCCAUGUAACUUUUCUCCUAACAGGUUGUCUUCUUCGUCUCUCGGAAAAAGUUAAGUCGUUAACGUCUGCAACUAGUGAAUCUAAUGCCGGUGCAGGAUCAAUAUGAAAACUAGUUGACAACUCUUCUUCUUGAAACACCUCAUCAACCUGCUCAAGGUGACCAAUUUGAUAUUCGUCCUCACCAGGAGUGUAUAGGCGUUCGCGGGGAUUUACAUUGUACACAACCCUCCAUUUAGACAACUUUUUGCAUGGAUAUGUCGAGAAAUAAACUUGGUCUGCUUGAUGGGCAAGGAUAUACGUGUCGUGUCCUUGAAGCAAUUUUUCCGGUUGGAUCUGUGUCAUCCCAAAUUCGGUCCUAUAAUACUUCGGGUCAUACCAUUUACACUCAAAGAAAACUAGCGCUAAAGGCUUAUUUCCAGCAAAUGUAAUCUCGAUUAUAUUUUUGAUUUUCCCGUAAUAGCAGGCUUCGUGUCCUUCCAUGUCGGUUGCCCUAGUAACGACUCCACUAUUUUGAGUGGCGGCAAUAGGAUGACUUGAUUCGAAAAUGCUUGAACGAAAGCGAUAUCCAUUGACGUUGUAACGUCCAUAGCUUUUGGCAGUUACGCUUCCAAUAGAUAACUGACGUAAGUCAUCAUUCAAAUUCAUUUCCUCCCCAAACUGUCAAUUAUGCCACAAAGCAUUAGCAAAUUCUGUAAUAUUAGUUAACUGAAAUUAGCUCUCGGAGCCACAUAAUUAAGACUUACACGGUCCCGAAGCCACAUAAUGAAAUUAGGUCGCCCAUGCAUACCAUCGCGUCGCAAUUUGUCUAUGUCUCUCGCUGUUGGCCUACCGAGACACCUCAUGUUUUGUUCAUCAAACUCGCUGUCAAAUAUUAUUGUGUGACAUGAGAUAUUUGAUAACAUAAACUAAUUCACAUAUGAACAGUUUAAGAAAAUAAGUCUUACACAAAAUAUUUCUCCACCUCAGGCAUAUUCGUGAACAUGUACAGUAAAGCAGACUUCCGUUCUUCCAUACUGAGGUGAUAUGCCUUGGGUGGACCAACGGCUUUGCCGUUUGUCUGAAAAAUCGAAAGAUCACUACAAGGAGGCAUCUCUCGUUCAUCAUCAUGGUACCUUUUCUUUCGAGCAAAUACAUUAUGUUCUUCUGCAAAGUAACAACUUGUGAAGUGUGCUACCUCCUUAAGUUUAAAUUGUUCCGCAAUACAUCCUUCAACUCUUGCCUUAUUGCCCACCAUUGCUCUAAGCUUCUUUAAAGCUCUUUCUAUAUGAAACAUCCACCUAUACUGAACAGGACCACCGACCUUAGCCUCAUAUGGAAGAUGUAUAAAGAGAUGCUGCAUAGGAUUGAAGAAACCCGGUGGAAAUAUUUUUUCCAAUUUGCACAAAAGCACUGGUGCCUCUUUCUCCAGCUGUUCCAUCACAUCUCUUAUGAUUUCUUUAGCACACAACUGUCUGUAGAAAUAGCUAACUUCAUCUAACGUUUUCCACAUAGCUUCUGAAAUGUACCCACGAAACAUUACAGGCAUGAGCCUCUCCAUAAUUAUGUGGAAGUCAUGGCUCUUCAGUCCAUUCAUCUUCAUUGUCUUCAAGUUCACAAAUCUUCUAAAACCAGCGGCAUAACCAUCGGGUAAUUUAAUAUCCUUCAUCCACUUCAUCACUUCUUUCCGUUGCUUAGAUUUCAGACAAUAGUCAGCUUUUGGUUUGCCUCCGUUUUCUCUAAGCACUAGGGUUGGAUGAUCACAUAUCACUGCUAAGUCCAUGCGUGCCUUGUCAUUGUCUUUCGUUUUAUCAGGGAAAUCCAUGCAUGUAUUUAUGAGGGCUUGGCAAAAGUUACUCUCUUGAUGCAUGACGUCGAUGUUGUGCAUCAAAAUCAAUGACUAGCAUAAGGAAGCUCCCACAAGCCACAUAUGUGAGUCCAGUUAUGCUCCUCACCAAAACCUUGAUACCUUUUCCCACUCUCGUCUAGGACAAGUUUCAUAUGUUCUUCUGUAAUUUCUAUCCCACUACGUCGCUUGGGCGGUCCCUUCGUGACGAUGGUGCCCUUCCUAAAUUCCUUCCUCUGCUUUCUGAAGGGGUGAUUGAAGGGUAGAAAACAUCUAUGGCAAUCAAAGUAACAUAUCUUGCCACCAGCACUAAGACGAAAACAAUCUGUAUCUUUAGCACAAUAAGGACACGUCAAUCUACCAUGCACGCUCCAUCCAGAGAAAAUACCAUAUGCCAUAAAAUCAUGAACCGAGAACAGAUAUGCAACACGAAGAUUGAAUUUCUGCUUCUUGAAGCAAUCAUAGGAUUCCACACCUUGCCAUAGCUUCUUUAACUCUUCAAUCAGUGGUUGAAGCAUCACAUUGAGGCGUACGCCAGGAUGCUCAGGCCUAGGUAUAACAAGACAUAGGAACAUAAACUCAUAUUUCAUGCAAAGAGCAGGUGGAAGGUUGUACGGUAUGGCAAUGACAGGCCAACAUGAAUACGACACAGCGGUCAUAUUGAACGGCGUGAAACCAUCAGUUGCCAAGCCGAUACGAACGUUUCUUGCAUCGCUGGCAAAAUCUGGAUCAAAUUUGUCAAGAGCCUUCCAUGCAUCACCAUCUGACGGGUGCACCAUUAACCCAUCUUGUCUGUCCGUACAAUCUUUAUGCCACCUCAUGUGCAUAGCGGUCUUCCUCGAGAGAAACAAACGUUUCACUCUAGGAGUGAGAGGCAUGUACCAAAGUUGUUUAUGUGCAACCUUUGUCACCACCUUCUCCCCAUAUUCAUUUACAAGCUCCACGUACCUCGACUUCCCACAUUUUAAGCAUUUCUGUUCUCUGCCAUGUUCCUUCCAAAAAAGCAUACAGUUGUCUUGGCAAACAUCAAUCUCUCAUACUCCAUACCAAGACCUUCAAGCAAUUUCUUGGACUGGUACAUGUCUUUGGGCAUCUUGUGACCCGUAGGAAGAACCUCGCUAAUCAAAUCCACAAGCUCCUUGUAACAAUUAAUUGAGAAUGCAAACUUGGACUUGAUUGACAUCAGUCGGGUCACGAAUUCGAGUACGGUCACGUCAGUGUGCCCGUGAAGAGGCUCUUCUGACGCUUUAAGUAGGUCAAAGAACUUCUGAACCUCCGGUGUAGGUGAAUCAUGAUGAUCUGGUGCCAGUUCAGGCUGCAGAUCCUCAAGCAUCUGGUCCAUCCUAUCAACAUCAUCUUCAUCGUCAUCAACUUCUACUUCUGCUGCUCGUUCAAGGCGUGACUCCCCGUGGAGAUACCAGACCUUAUAGCCUGGCACAAAACCAUGCGAGCACAGGUGUAGUGUGACCUGCCUCUUGGUGUGGCUCGUCAUAUUUCGACAUUUAUUGCAUGGACACCUAAUGUUAUCUAUUUGUGACAAAGCAGCUGCAUGGUCCAGAAACAUCUGCGUCUUGGCAAACCAUUCACUUGUGUGACACCCACCCUUCUUGAAACCUUCAUACAUCCAAUCACGUCUAUCACCCAUAUUGCGGCUGUGUGUACGAGUAAGAAUUGCGUGUGUGAGACAUUCAUGUUUAUAAACGUCACACAUACAUCUAUAGAUAAAUAGUUAAACUAUAUAUAUACAUAACAUAACUAUAUAUAUACAUAACAUAAACGUCACACAUACAUCUAUAUAUAUACAUAACAUAACUAUAUAUAUACAUAACACAUAAACGUCACACAUACAUAUAUAUAUAUACAUAACAUAUCAUCCAAUUCAUUAACUAAUAACAUUAAACAACACAUUUUAUAUUUGCAACAUAAAAUUAAAAAUAUGAAGACUAAUAACACUGUUAAUUAACAAAUUUAAACAAAACUUAAUCACAUAACAGUUAACUCUCGUCGGCCAUAAAAAACCGAUGAAAAUAAAACAUUACAAUAUAUAUAAUAUACCUCGCUCGCUUUGCGCGACGGUGGUGGACGACGUCGAUGUGGGGAAGCCGCGGCUACCGUGGACGGCGCCGGGUGACGGCGUUGGGCGGGCGACGGCGGUCGUCGGGCGCCCGGGCGGGGGCGGCGGCCGUGGGCGCGGGGCAGCGCAGCGUGGGACCGGCGGCCGUGGGCGGGGGCGGCGGUCCUGGGCUCGGUGUGGCGGCCGGGCGAGCGGCGUGACGGCGGCGGGGCAGCGGGCGAGCGGGGGCGGUGGGACGGCGGCGGGGCGGCGACGUCGGCCGGCGGUGUGCGGGCGAUGGCGGGCAGAACGACGGCGCGGGCGCGGGCGUAGAGAGAGCGCGCGGUGAAAGAAAUAGAAAGGAAGAAGAAAGGGCACGACGGUGGUUAUUUCGAAUAACUCCCGUCGGCCUGGCGACGCGGCCGACGGGAGUUACUUAAUCGCCGUCGGCUGUACGCGGGCCGACGGGAGUUAGUUAAUCUCCGUCGGCUACGUUGACUGACCGACGGGAAUUAAAUAAUCUUCGUCGGCCUUACUUUGGCCGACGGGGAUUAAUUAAUUCCCGUCGGCCCGCGCGCAGGCCGAUGGGAAUUAAUGUAGCCGACGGGAAUGCUUUGAAUUGCUGUAGUGGGACGAACCAAAGGUAAAAGUGGCGGAGGUGGAGGCCCGAUGCAAGUGGCGGAGACGGCAUCCCAAAGCUUGGCAUUUGGACACCCAUUUGUUUUGCCACUUACUACUAUCUUUGGUGUCCUAUUAUUUGUUGUUUUGGAUAAGGUUUGAGUCAAAUUUACAAAAGUUUGACUACAAAUAACUCUUUUGUUAUUUAGUUUUGAAACCUAAUAUUUAUAUGCACGGAUUUGUCUCAAAACACUUUUAUAAAAGUAUAUAUGUAUCAAAAGUUUAUUUGUAUUUUGGCAAAAAAUAUUGGUAAAAGAUAUAUUUUGGAGACCGUAUCGUUGUCCUAAACAAUAAAUAAUUAGAAACCAGAGGGAGUACAAAUUAGAUGCAAGUAACUUUUGAGGAGCACAAAACCAAACAAGCUUGUAGUUGUUAUGAAUAACAUAUUACUUCGACUUACUGAGAGAAAAGCAUGUUGCUGGGCCUAGAGGUUCGCAUAGUACUCGUCCUUCUCCUUUGGUGCUAAGCUUGCCGCCUAUGAUACUCUGUCGGCUAGAUCUGAUACUCCGCAUGUUGCCUUAUAACUUCCUACAGUCUGACAAUCUCCAUGUCCUGGGUGGAGGAGCGAGAACGAGAUGCCUACGAGGAUGACGAUACAGACCUUCGUCCUUGAUGUCUCAACUCCCUAGAGUCAAUUGCAGAAUCAAAUAUACCCAACCUACAUGAGUAACCAUGGACUUAGUACAAUCGCAAGCAUAUUAGCAAAACUUAAAAACAAAAUGAAAUACUCUCACCGUCCAUGGGCUUGUCCUCCUACGCUAGCAUAUGUUGACUCGGGGUCGAUGGGUUGGGUCCUCUAGUCAUAGUCCUACCCAUGGCGCUCAACCAUCUCCUCCCCAUAUGGUGCCUGGAAUCAAACACAGCAAAUAUCAAUACGUCAUCAAGGUGAUGCACAAACAAACACUAGAGUACCAAAAACUCACCAGACGAUCAGUGCAUGCCUGAGUGCGCAAAACAUCAAGAUUCUAAGGAUUAGAACCCAUAUGCCCUUGCACAUCUAUGGGCCUAGCACCGGAUUUGGUCCCCUGUACAUACAAGUUAGAAUGACAAACUUUUAUUUACUUUGAAGUUAGAACAUACUAUAAUGUAUCAUUCUCUGAGCCAAGCACACAUGUCCAUCACCACCAUAGUUGUGGAACGACUCGGUACCACAUUUUCCCUUGUUCCUUUCAGAAAUGGUGUGGAACUCUGGGGAAGCCCACCACCUACACAAGGCCCAAUAACCAUCUGAUCGGGUGACCAUCCAAGGAAUAGACACCUACAUGAAAUGCUCCUCGAUCAGGUAAAUUGAUGCAUUAACAUGUACCCAAAGCAAGAAUCAACAAAAAAAUAAAAAGGGGUCGACAACUUUUUUACCUCAAAGUAUUGCUCCUCCGUAAGGUAAAUCAACGACCACUCCAUCUUGGUCUUCGACAUUCAUAAAAGAGUCAAGAAUUAGUGUCUUGAAAUAUUGAAUCCUGACUCCUCGAGGUUCUCCUCGUCCAAAGCAAACUCUAAGUCGAAGACUUCAUUUUCUUUGGCAUCCUAUUUCAACAAAAACAAGUUAGUACAUCAAUCCAAAUAUGAAUACAGAAUGAAAUACAAAAUAAUAAAAGAAAAUAAAAAAUUAUGCAAAUAUAUUACAAUUCCAUACUCGUCAAUCAUAAUUGUAAUCAAAAUCAUGAUUGAGUUUUUUUAUUUCGAUUCAAUGGACGCCAAUUAGAUUUCUUCUUUCUCGACAUUCAUUUUCUUUUUGGAGGAACCUCUACAUCGUUCAGAUCACCUAUUAAGGAUUCUUCCAACAUUUCAAUUUCUAUGUUAAACGUGCUUAGAAGUUCAUCGUCUUGGAAAAUCGCAGUAGCCCCCACCUCCAACUCGAUUCGACUUUCAGCAUAACCAGCAUCACCAGGAGAAUAUAGUCAUUCAUGAGAAUUAACUUUGUACACUAACAACCAAUCAAUCAAACUCUUACCGUAGAUGGAUAUGGCAUAUAAUACACCUGCUCGCAUUGGUGGACAAGGAUUAUAGUGUUGUGGCCUUGUAUUCAAUCAUUGUGUUUGACAUCCACCAUGCCAUACUGGUUUUCUCGUGUUGCACUAUUAGGAGCAAACCAAUCACAAUUUGAGUAAAUCUAACGACAUCAUGUCCCUCCUAAAUGGUUGAUGGCAGAGGCAGUGCACGUGGAUGGAGACGACCAUUUUGUAUGAUGCACUUAUUUCCGACGGCUUGUCCGACAUCCAUCGGAUGUAGAGCUUAUGUCCUACGACUGACAGAAGGGUCGUGAAAGAUAAUAUUAUUUUCGACAACUGGCAUGAACCGUCGCUAGUUUCUUUAACUUUCGAUGGCUAGCCUAGAAGCCCUCAGACAUAAGGCGGACGUUAGAAAAUCUUUGGUUUCCUGUUGUAAUGUACGGGUAUUUGACUAGUAAGAAUUGAGGGGUCACUUCAACUUUCGAUGGGCCCAACACCUGCAUGUCAGCCUCAUUGAUGGUGGAUGCAUCAACGAAUCAGUGUGUGGACAUCGUCUGUGGCGAGUGGAUCCAUAAAUUCACAUCCAUGAUAACAGAGCUAGGCGGAUACAUGAUAUGUCAUCCACAUUAACGAUGAAGGUGCCUAAACUUUGAGCAACAGGGUGUUAGAAUUGAUCUCCACCAUUUGCCCUAACGACCAAUUGGGUCCUUGACCUCACGCCCUGAUUGGACAAGGCUAGUAGGUCCUUAUUGCGCUGCCCUACAAAUAGAUAGGUGAGGGUUGAUGGCAGAGCACAAGGUUCAUAGUAGCUACCAUAUCAAUUCCUCAUUUUCAACUCUAGACCGAUCUCGAGGGGAGGCUGUCAGCAACAGAAAGCUCAUCGUCGACGUGAGCUCACUUCCCCGACUGUCGUUGCCAUAGCGCAGAGCUUCACCGACGAACGUGUCGGCGUCGGAUUCAAAACGAGGUAUGAUUUGUGUUUUUGGUAUUGAUCAAGUGGUGUAAUGCAUCAUAAUCCUAUUUUGGGAUUUACGUGUGUUCUUCAAAAUAUUAAGAAUCAAAAUAACUCUUAAUAUGGGGUUUUCUCUUUUCAAAGUUAUUUCCUAUUAUAAAUUAUAUAAUUAGAAAUAUUUUUCAAAAUACUCAAGUAACUCUUGUUGGAGAAUAUAAAUUACUUUCUCUUAAAACAAGCAAGUAAUAAAUAUGAAUCCUCUUUAGUACUUUUAAAAUAAUUUCCUUGGAAUAGAUAAUAUGUGAAUUAUUCUUUAUUCUUUAUUUUAUGUCUUGAAACAUGAAUAAAAGAACUAGUAUGAACUUAAAAAAUCAUUACAUCAAGCUAGGAUUAUUUUGUUUGUUGCAUCUAAAUUGGAGUUUCAAAUUCAAAACCUAGACUUGAAUUGAAUUUGAAAGUGGAAAACAAAUAGAAAAGAAACUAAAAAUAGAAAUAAGAUAAAAAGGGGAAAAAGAAAAUUGCUCUUGGGCUGGAUUCACUCAGGCACGACCCAGCUAUUCCACGCCGGCCCACUCUCCCUUUGCUCUUUUUUCUUUUCCCUUAAUGUAUAUCGUGUGGGGCCCUUUUACCAGCUUCUCAUCCAUGCGCCCCACACUUCUUGCUGAUGCAGCCACGCGGGCCCGCACGUCAACCCCUUACACGCGCACACGAGCUUGCUUCCGGGGGCUGAUUUGUGGGGUAGCCUCGUCAGGUUCAUCCCCUAGCUCGGGUUUGUUAUGAACAACCCGGAGAAUGCAUGUGGACCUCAGUUGUCACCACCCUAAUCCUUAUCUCCACAGGUAUAUAAAUUAGGGACCUGUGACCUCCCCUUACUCGUCGUCAGAGAGGUGUCGAGAGCCAUGACGUCAAACGGAGAGGAGAGAGAGAGAAGUGCAGGCAGGGAGAAGGAUCGCCGUCAUGGUGGACAACUACACUAUGGAGACAUCGGGCUCUCGGGUUUGGGUCAGGGGAGAUCGCCGACAUGUGUUGAUGCUCGUCGUGGCGUCAUUUGGGCAGGUAGGGCCUUGGAAGUCGCUGCAAUUCUUCGUUGGAGAAGCGUCACCACUGAGGACUGACACCUCGUCGUGGGUCGAACCCCUCUGUAACACAAUCGACGGUAAUCCACCUUCCCUCAUGUCCGUCGUCAUCCCCUCUUCGCAUAGCACCAUUCAUAUUAGAACAUGGAGCACUAGGUCGAGGGAUCCAUGGGAUCGUCGGAGUUCUGCGCCGUGGGUGGUGCAGUGCCACCGCUGCCUGACUGCGAGGGGAGGAGAAAGAGUUGUUGUAAGUGCAAUCAACCCAGACUGAGGGUUUUGGUGAUUAAAUGACAAAACAAACAGAGUUUCUAACAAGUUUUCUCCUAGUAUGUAUACAGUCAUUCUACAGACAGGAGAAGCACAUAUCAUAUAUGUACACAAAUGUAAAAGCACAGCGGAUUAAAAUUCUACAUCAUAUAGCGUGCUUCAAGUGCUUGGGAACAACGGCAAUUUACUCUUUACAAUCCUUGAGUCAUAGGAAUCGUCGUUCAAUUAAGAGGGAUCCGCAAUAGUUGAGUAAGUAAGUGCGAUGAGCUUAGUCCAAAUCUUUUCAAAUCCUCUAAGAAAACAUUUUACUAGAUCAUGAAUGCUCUUGGAAAAACCACUUUCACUUCCCGCUAAGAUUUCCCCAUGGUUCUCUUUAGUUUUCUAAAAAUUUGUUCGCCAGUUUCAAAAACCGGCUCAACCGGUUUUUGCACUGUUCACUCUGCCACUUUCUGACCUGCCAGUCUGCCAGCCAGUCCUGUCAGAAAAAGUCGUGUGCAGACUGUUGGAAAAUCGGUUCAACCGAUUUUUGGGCCGGUUCAACCGGAUUUGGAAUCGGACCACUCUUCGGUUGAGUCAGCCAGUGAACCGAGAACCACCCUGGUGGAAACCGGUUCAACCGGUUUCAAAACCGGUUCAACCGGUUUUCUGUCUGGAAUCCCCAAUGGCCACCAGCUUUUAGGGGCUCCUUUAUAUACCCCUCACACUCUCUCUCUUCAUUCACUUCUGCCCUCUCCAUGAAUUCUUGGCUGACCAACUCUCAAACAAGAGCAUUCAAUCCACCUCUCACACCCAAAAUCGCAUCUCCUUCAAUUGAUUGAAGGACCCUUGGUGUGAGGUGAAGUCGGUUUAACUCGUUGUUGAUUUCAUCUCGAUUCUCCCUUUCUCUUCAUCUCUCGAGCUCAUCGCAAACUUGAAUCUUGUGCGGAUUUGUUACUCUUAGAACCUUGAGUUCCUUGACGGAUAGAGGUUGCAUGGGAGUCUCCAAAUUUGUGGACGACCCCAAGAAGUUUGUAUCACCCGCUCGUUGAGCUAAGUUGAGAAGAGAUUGCCUUGACCUUGGUGAUCGGCUUGUGGAGGAUUAGGGUUGGAAAAGACCUGGCCCUUUGUGGGCUCCUCAACGAGGAGUAGGACACCUUUGUGGUGGUUGCCGAACCUCAGGUUAAAUCGUGUGUUCUUGGUGUGCUCUUAGAACGUGCUUUAAAUUGUUGGUUAGUUCAUAUUUGAUUAUAUUGUGUGCAAAUCGUGUGAAACCAAUUCACAUCGAAUUGUCACCCAUUUGAGUGGAUUUUCUCUAGGGCAAGUCUUAAGCAAGAAUCUCUCAUUACUUUGUCACACUUGUUUAACUAUUUAUCUAAUCUAAGUUGAGCAGGUUCAAACUUGUUCAGCUGUAAACAAAAUUAGCUGAACCAGUUUGCACUAGUGCAACUUGAAUUUAACACUACCUCGAAGUUUUUAGUGAAAAAUUUCAAGUGUAGCCUAUUCACACCCCCCUCUAGGCUACUUUCAGUUGUGGUCGUCCAUUUAAUAUGGAGCGGUUAAGAUUAGACGGGAGGAUACCUCUUCGGCGUUUAAAAUCGUGGCUGCCAGAUGGCAAUCCAAGGGUUCCUGUUAGAUCAUGGCGUGGAGCGCUGCGGCCCAUUUAUCUCAAAUCGGACGGUUCUUGGUGCAUAUCGGUUCGAUUUAAUGUAGAUCUAAUCUCAAGCGUUCGACUUUGAUUAUGCGGCGUAGACUCAAAGAUACCCCUUCGUCGCGGUUCUUUUGUUAAAAAGACCCCAGACUCUUUACAAAACAAUUCGCCGUCCAUCUCUAUUCAGAAAUUGUUUCAUCUAGGACCUUUUAUUUACAAAGUCAACCAUGAAGUCUCGGAUAUUGUAAACCGCUGUACAAACCUCACUGAAUUUUAUAAAUUAAAAAUCAGAAAAUUGUUUUAAGUGUUAAAAUAAUUCAAUAAAGAUUAGAAAAUUCAUAAGUUAUCUGUUUUAACUCUGAUUUAGUGGUUCUUGAAUCUACAAUGUCGUAGCGACGCGUAGAAUAUUCUUACGCACUUUGUUCCCAUAUUUUGGUGUAAUGUUAUUAUAUUCAUUAUUUGUUUAUUUGUAUGUAUUACUAUGAUUAGAAGCGAGGUCACUAGGAAUCUAAUACCCCAACUUGGAAAAAUACCUGGAGUUGCACAAAAAUGCAAGUUGUGCCCUUGAUCACUUUUCUUUACCUAAUAAUGUUCUCGAUAAUCACCGUGACAUGCUCAGGUUAACUUGAUGGGACCUAAUAGGUUAACCUGGUUUUGAUUACGCUACACCUUGCAUACAAAUGAAAUUUUGGGUAGUUUUGCUAUAGUCUACCUGAUUUUGGGCUUAAUGUUAUAUAUGAAUUAUGAUCAUGAUUUAUCAUUGUUGUUUGAUUAUUUAUUAUUGAUGAUAAGAUUAUUUUGUUAAUUGGAACAUGGAGUUUAAUCUGGGAAAACAGUUCUACCACAAGGGUGGAAUGGGACGACCUUGGCCAAUUAAUUAGGAAAACUAGUGAGGGCUUACCUUUCCCUAAAGGGGCAAGCGGGGAGGUGUCGCUGCAGAGUAUAGUGUUGACUGUAAUUACUGCGAUGGGGUUACAGACAGUAAAAAAGGCCUAUGCUUCCUUCGUCCUGGCACCGUAGUAGGAUUUCCUGAACUAGUGAAACUUUGUAAAGGCCUCGCAGUGUACCCUCGCAACUCACCUUAGAAGUGUUUAAGGGUCCAAUCAACCCGAGGCAAAAUAGCGAACACGUCUUGUGGAUAAAGAUGUGUAACAUCUGCAGAGUGUAAAACUAGUAUAUCAGUCGUGCUCAUGGUCAAGAGCAGCUCAGGACUCUCGCAUGAUUAAUUUAUAGAAUUAAAUUUAAUCUGUCAUUUGCAUUAUAAUGUGGGAUUUAUUAUUAAUUAUGAUCUCUUACUUAAUUGGUUUGGUAUAUACAUACACUUAGUAAAUGCUAAUAAAAUUUUGACCAACCUAUUAAAAGCAAUGCUUAGUCUUAACCAUUUUUUUUGGUAAGCCUUACACUUCACAUGAGCCCCACCAUAAGUGAGCUCAUGCAUAUUAUACCCCACAACUUGUUGAGCGAUGAACGUAUGUGAGCUUACAUUUGCUAAACUCACACCAGGUCAAGAACAGGUAGCGCCACGAUGAGGAGCAUCACUACAGUAAACGGAACAACGUCCGACGACCAACACCGUCGGACAUAAGGUUCAAACCGUCGGAAAUAGGUAAUGUCCGACGGCAUUAACCUUUCUCCGACGGUUUUAAGCCGUCGGAGAUAAGGCGUCGGAAAUAGCCUAAUGUCCAACGGCCGCCGUCGGACAUAAGCUAUCUCCGACGGCCGCCUCUGCCCGUCGGAAAUAAUAAACACCAAUCGUUUUACCGGUCAGUCUGUGGGGCCCACAGGCUUAUGUCCGACGGUCCGGCGCUAGACCGUCAGACAUAACCAGGACUUAUGUUCGACGGUAUAUAAAACCGUCGGACAUAACCAGGUCUUAUGUCUGACGGCUACCACUAGGCCGUCGGACAUAAUAAAUUACAGAAUUUACACAAAAUUCUGUUUUUUUAAAAUCUGACAUUUACAAAACAAAAACAGAUUUCAUGCACAUAUACACAUUCACAUUCACAAUCACAAAUAUACACAUUCAAAUAAGUAUUCACAAUCACAAAUAUUCUCACAUAAAUAUUAACAUUCACAAAUUUAACAUCAACAUAUAGGUCCGACGGUUGUUGCAAACUGACAUUGUGUCUCACAAACAAGUGUUGCAAAGUGUUUCACAAAUUAACAUCACGACACAUCAAUCAUAUCCAUCGCCUGGAUGGUUCGAGUAGCCACCUCCUCCGGCUGGACUCUGCGUGUUGAAAAGGUUGUUCACCCACGAAUGUGUUGUGUCGUCUUGACCAGACCCAUCUCCAGGUGCGGCAACUGAAGCGGGUGGUGUCUGAAAUCCCUAUAACACAAGCACAUGAAAUAGUAACCACUCAGUUGUUCAUUUAAACACAUAAGACAUCUAUGAACAUGUCACACACGCAUAUGUGUACAUACCAUAGGGAAUUGUGACGGAGGCGGAGGUGGAGGUGCCAACAUUGGCAUUGGCAGUGCAAAGUCCGGAGGCGGCAUCCCAUAUGUUGGCAUCGGGACGCUCGCUUGUUGGGCUAGUUGCUACAAAUUAUAUACAAGUCAUUGUUGAGCAAAUAAGAUACACAUCAUGUGUUUUGCAAAAUAAGCUACAAAAUGUUACUUGAACUUACCGAGAGAAGAGCUUGAUUUUGGGCCUGGAGGCUUGCAUAAUACUCGUUCCUCUUCUUCUGGUACUCAGCUUGUUGUCUCUGGUAUUCAGAUUGUUGCCUCUGGUACUCCAAUUGUUCCCUCAAGACUGAUUGAUGGUACUCUGCCUGUUGACGCAACACUGCAAGCUCUAUCUCAUAGGCGGAUGAUCGUGAACGGGACGACUGUGAAGACGACGAUGUGGACUGUCGUCCACGGCGUCUCAGCUCUCUGGAAUCAAUCGUAGAAUCAAAAAUACCCAACCUACAAGAGUGAACCAUGCACUUAGUAUAGUAACUCAUGGCUCAGUUGAAUCGCAAGCAUAUGAUGACAAUUUUGAAAACCAAAUCAAAAUAAUCUCACCGUCCAUGAGCUUGUCCUCCUGCGCUAGCAUAUUAUGUGAGUCCAAUUAUGCUCGGUUCGAUAACCUUCAAAACGAUUUCCAUGUUCGUUUAUUUUCAAAUCAUUAAGUCUCGCGAGAAUCUCUGGACCACUUAGACGCUUGGGUGGUCCCCUCGUCACAAUCGUGUCCUUUUUAAAAGUGUUCAUAUCGAACCUGAACGGGUGAUCCUCUGGCAAAAAACAUCUAUGGCAAUCGAAGUAACAUAUCUUUCCACCAAACUUUAGUCGAAAGCAUAAAGUGUCUUCAAAGCAUAUCGGACAUGUCAAAAUCCCAUGACAACUCCAUCCAGCAAAGAUACCAUAAGCCAUAAAAUCAUGAAUAGACCAUAAAAACGCGGCUCUCAGGUUGAACUUCUGUUUCUUGUAACAAUCGUACGCCUCGACUCCUUCCCACAAAAUUUUCAAUUCUUCAAUCAGGGGUCUCAUCAUCACAUCGAUCUUUGUUCCAGGAUGAUCCGGACCAGGUAUUACAAGACACAAGAAAAUAAAUUAAUAUUUCAUGCAAAGAGCUGGUGGAAGGUUGUAUGGAACAACAAAGACGGGCCAACAUGAGUAGGACGUUGCAGUUAGAUUGAAUGGCGAGAAACCAUCUGUUGCCAAACCGAAGCGGACAUUCUGCACUACAUCAGCAAAGCUGGAAUCAAAAGCAUCUAGUGCCUUCCAUGCAUCUGUAUCAGCUGGGUGCACCAUGACAUUUGGAUUCUCACGUACCCCUUCUUUGUGCCACCUCAUGUGUCUGGCUGUAUUCUUGGAGAUGAACAAACGUUUCAACCGAGGUAUAAGAGGCAUGUAAUGAAGCUGCUUACGUGCAAUCUUCGUAGUCACGGUCAAACCAUCGUCGUUUUCAACCUCAACGAAUCUACGCUCACCACAUACAGUACACUUCUUCUCACCCGCGGUCUCCUUCCAGAAAAGCAUACAAUUAUUUUCACAGACAUCGAUUUUUUCGUAGUCCAUACUGAGCCCAGAUAACAACUUUUUAGACUGAUACAUGUCCUUUGGCAUCUUGUGAUUCUCCGGAAGUACAUCACUGAUCAAGUUCAAAAGCUCCUUGUAACAGUUGUUUGAGAAUGCAAACUUAGACUUAAUAGCUAUAAGUCGAGUCACACAUACAAGGACGGACACUUUUGUGUGCUCAUGCAACGGCUCUUCGGCAGCUUUAAGGAGCUCGAAGAACUUCUGAACCUCAGGUGUAGCUGGAUCCUCAAACUCGGUGGGUUGACCGGGGUUCUCCGAAUCGACGGUUAGAAACUCAUGGCGUACAUCAUCAAGCAUCUCUUCCAUCCUAUCGUAGUCCUCCUCUUCAUGUGACUGAACUUCCGAUACAAUACGAGGAGGUGGGUCCUCACCGUGGUGCACCCACGCCUCAUAGCCUGGCAUAUAACCGUUCUUGCAAAGAUCUAUCGACAUAGUCCUCCUGUCAAGGAAAUAAAUGUUCCGACACUUGGUACAAGGGCACCUAACAUCGGUUCCAGUCUCUGACCGAGCAAACGCACGAUCGAGAAAAGCAUCUGUCUUGGCAACCCACUCACUUGAUAGAGCACCUCAUUUCUUCCAACCUUCAUACAUCCAUCGACGAUCAUCCUCCAUAUUAGAUACGAGAUGUUAACUUGAUUAGUUAUGAUUACUAAUGAACCAUACUAAUACAAUAUCACUACAGAAAAAUCAUUUCACGAGACCCUAAAUCAAAUAAAAUAACCUUAUUUCCGAGGGCUUAAUAAUUACCUUCGAAAAUUAUAAGUUUAAAUUAUAUAGCCACUAAUAAAUAAAUUAAAACAAGCUAAUUUAAUUGCAUAAUUAAAUCAAGCCGUAGGACAUAACAAAACUAAACAUGACUACUAGCAAACAAUAUAUAUGUAUACACAAAAUUAUACUAAAAAUUAUGAAAUCGUACUCACUUUGCCGGACGAUGAACCGGUGAAGCGAGCGCCAGCGGGGUUGGGGCGGGCGCCGGCGGGGUUGGGGCGGGCGCCGGCGGGGUCGGGGACGGGGGCAGACGCUUGGGCCGGCGCGCGCUGCGUCGGGGCGGCUUCGGUGGCGUCGGGAUGGUCACGGAGGUGGUCACGGGCUCGUGCUCGGGCGGAUGAGCGUUGGGGCGGGGCUGGAGGUCGCCGGGAGCUGCUUGGAUGGCGGCGGAGAGAGAUUGCGGCGGUGGCGGCGGCUCGUCAGCGGCGGCGGCGAUUUCUUCGCGACGGCGGCGGCUGCUGGACAUAUGUGCACGGAGAUGAAUGAAACGAUUCGGGCCGCCGCGCACCGGUUAAAAUCCUUUAGUUCCGACGGCCCACUAGAAGACCGUCGGACAUAAGCUUAUGUCCGACGGUCUACCUGACAGCCGUCGGACAUAAGCUUAUGUCCGACGGCCGCUCUGACAGCCCUCGGAGAUACCAUCGGAUAUAAGAAAGCCGUCGGACGUUUACAGUUUUACUGUAGUGCAUGAAGGAUGAUAUGAUGAGUUCGGGGAGAUCUACGAUGUCAUCUGCCAGUCAAUUAUGGUUGCGGAGGAUCGUUGUCUUCAUAUGAUGUAAUUAUUUAGUUAUUUUUAUAUAGAACUCUUAUUAAGAAAUAAAGAUGUGACAUUGAUUUUUAUACCAUGAGUAAUUAUAUGUGUGAGACUUGAUCCUAACACACAUUUGAGACGCGCUUGGAUUUGUACUUAAAUCCGGGUGUGACAAGUGCUUAGGGUUUUUAGGAUGAUCCAAUAGAUCUAUCAUGGGGCAUUGCAGUAUUUUUUUGUUUUUUAAACAACGUUUUUGAAGGAGGCAUCCACACCACCACUGCCUCCCUCUUCUAAAAGUGAUUAACAGAUACUAUAAUGCUUAGACAAGCAGGGUUCCCUUCAAUAAAAAUAGUAUUUGGCCCUAUAUAUGUAGUGCGUUGUGUAAUUUUAUGAGUCAAAACAAUCAAAGAAAAUUUUAAUGGAGAUGGAUCCCUACUAGCGUACGUAUCGUCUUGUAGCUAGAUGUUAAUUAAUAUAAUAAAUAUAUUAAAACUUGACACAAAACCCGUAAUUUCGGUUCUCAAAUACCCGAUGUCAAUUUCAAUUCUCACUUGUAAAAACCCAAACUAUCAAAAAACCAAAAAAAACAAUACCGUACGACUAUUUCUGAAGCCCUCUAACUUCAGACUACCUUUUGUGAUGGCACGGGCCUUGCACAUUUCAAUAUUGAUUCCCUAAUACUACUAACUAGCUCAUCAUGCAUCUGCUUCCAAUCUAAACUAGCUUAGCUGAAUUUGUCAAUAAACGGUGGAUUAUUCGUACGUAUACGUAGUAGUGGAAUACACUCAUUAUUAGGUGAUGAUCUGCAUGCAUGGACUGGAGAACCUGCAAUUGUUUAUAUUUACGGGAUAUUCAUAAGCAGUUUCAGUGGUCAACUUGCUGGAGAUCAAGGCCUAGCUCAGGCAAGUUACUUACGUUUAUUAGAAUGGUAAUAUUACAUUUUAUUUGGUCAGGUGAAAUUCAAGUUUUGCAAAGUCUGAUCAAGAAAUAAUUAAACUCGUUUUCAAAACAAAAAAAAAUCAAACCAUACUGUAUGCAAUAUGACUGUGUAUCAAUGGCGGUGACGGUGGCACCGAAAGAUGGUCACCAGGAAUUUUUCUUUUUGAUGUUGUGGAGCGGUUGCGACGAAGAGCAAGAGUUUCAACGAACUAAUGUGAAGAGAAUUUUGGUUAGUUGGUUGUUCGUUGCUAGUUUAUUAUAAUACAUUAUAGGAUAUCCAUUAGCUACCAUAUGGAAACAAAGAAAUAGAUUAAAUAAAGCGAUCGUCCAUGAUUACCCUGCCCAAAGUCAAGUCUUGGAGCUUAGCAAUCGUCGUGCAUGAGGAUGAUGAGGCCAUACAUGUGCUUGCUUCGAUGGAACACGGAUUUCCUUCGUUCUGAUCGAAUAAGGUUCUGACGCAAGGCAUAACGAAUGCACGACCUAUCGUCAGUUGCCGUUCUUCGCUCCGGCGGCUCCUCCUCCAGCAGUAGUAUUUAACAAGCACUGGCCUGCAGCCAACGCCACAUGCUUCUCAUCUCAUCCCACAAGCCCAGAACACACUGCACGGUUAUUCAUCUCCAUUGCCAUUCCACACAUCGACCGUCGUCGUCAUGAAAAUGAACAUGUCCCUGGUUCUGUGCGUAGCCUUCUCGGCGUGCCUGGCUUCCCUCGCCGCCGCGGGCUGGUCUCCCGGCACCGCCACGGCGCCACAUUCUACGGCGGAGCCGACGGCUCAGGCACCAUGGGUAAGCUAGCUAGCUCUGAAUACUUUUAGUACUCAUGCACAAGAGCUAUCUAUGCACACUAUAUAUAUUAACUCCAUUUGCGCACGACGGUUUGCAUAUGCAGGCGGCGCGUGCGGGUACGACAACCUGUACAACGCCGGGUACGGCGUGAACAACGCGGCGCUGAGCGCGACGCUGUUCAACGACGGCGCGUCGUGCGGGCAGUGCUACCUCAUCACCUGCGACACGUCGCGUCCGGGCGGCCAAUCCUGCAAACCCGGCAGCUCCAUCACGGUGUCCGCCACCAACCUGUGCCCGGCCAACUACGCGCUGCCCAACGGCGGGUGGUGCGGCCCGGGGCGGCCCCACUUCGACAUGUCGCAGCCGGCGUGGGAGCACAUCGGCAUCUACGGGGCCGGCGUCAUCCCGGUGCUGUACCAGCAGGUCAAGUGCUCGCGCUCCGGCGGCGUGCGCUUCAGCCUCGCCGGCUCGCAGUACUUCCUGCUCGUCAACGUCCAGAACCUCGGAGGCAGUGGCUCCGUGGGGGCUGCCUGGGUGAAGGGCGACAGAACGAACUGGAUCCAGAUGUCCAGGAACUGGGGCGCCAACUGGCAUGCGCUCGCCGGGCUCGUCGG